CGAUACCGAGAGGCUUGCUUCUCGGGAAAGUGGCGCACGGGUGCGUAACGCGUAUGCAACCUACCUCAAUCAGGGGGAUAGCCCGAAGAAAUUCGGAUUAACACCGCAUAAAAUCACAGGAUAGCAUUAUCUAAUGAUCAAAUAUUUAUAGGAUUGAGAUGGGCAUGCGUGUCAUUAGUUAGUUGGCGAGGUAACGGCUCACCAAGACCACGAUGACUAGGGGAUCUGAGAGGAUGACCCCCCACACUGGUACUGAGACACGGACCAGACUCCUACGGGAGGCAGCAGUAAGGAAUAUUGGUCAAUGGAGGCAACUCUGAACCAGCCAUGCCGCGUGCAGGAAGACAGCCCUCUGGGUCGUAAACUGCUUUUAUUCGGGAAUAAACCUACUUACGUGUAAGUAGCUGAAUGUACCGAAGGAAUAAGGAUCGGCUAACUCCGUGCCAGCAGCCGCGGUAAUACGGAGGAUCCAAGCGUUAUCCGGAUUUAUUGGGUUUAAAGGGUGCGUAGGCGGCUUAUUAAGUCAGGGGUGAAAGACGGUGGCUCAACCAUCGCAGUGCCCUUGAUACUGAUGAGCUUGAAUACACUAGAGGUAGGCGGAAUGUGACAAGUAGCGGUGAAAUGCAUAGAUAUGUCACAGAACACCGAUUGCGAAGGCAGCUUACUAUGGUGUCAUUGACGCUGAGGCACGAAAGCGUGGGGAUCAAACAGGAUUAGAUACCCUGGUAGUCCACGCCCUAAACGAUGAAUACUCGCUGUUAGCGAUACACAGUUAGCGGCUAAGCGAAAGCGUUAAGUAUUCCACCUGGGGAGUACGGUCGCAAGAUUGAAACUCAAAGGAAUUGACGGGGGCCCGCACAAGCGGAGGAGCAUGUGGUUUAAUUCGAUGAUACGCGAGGAACCUUACCCGGGCUUGAAAGUUAGUGAAUCAUUUAGAGAUAGAUGAGUGAGCAAUCACACGAAACUAGGUGCUGCAUGGCUGUCGUCAGCUCGUGCCGUGAGGUGUUGGGUUAAGUCCCGCAACGAGCGCAACCCCUAUGUUUAGUUGCCAGCACGUUAAGGUGGGGACUCUAAACAGACUGCCUGUGCAAACAGAGAGGAAGGAGGGGACGACGUCAAGUCAUCAUGGCCCUUACGUCCGGGGCUACA
Molecule: ribosomal RNA, 1149 nt
Filed under: Pedobacter sp.
Lineage: Bacteria; Pseudomonadati; Bacteroidota; Sphingobacteriia; Sphingobacteriales; Sphingobacteriaceae
Description: bacterial SSU rRNA
Rfam family: Bacterial small subunit ribosomal RNA
Source: RNAcentral